UACAGAGGGGGCAAGCGUUGUUCGGAAUUACUGGGCGUAAAGGGCGCGUAGGCGGCCUGUUAAGUCGAACGUGAAAUCCCCGGGCUCAACCCGGGAACUGCGUCCGAUACUGGCAGGCUUGAAUCCGGGAGAGGGAUGCGGAAUUCCAGGUGUAGCGGUGAAAUGCGUAGAUAUCGGGAGGAACACCGGUGGCGAAGGCGGCGACCUGGGUCGAGACUGACGCUGAGGCGCGAAAGCGUGGGGAGCAAACAGG
RNAcentral lists this ribosomal RNA (253 nucleotides) under uncultured bacterium. RNAcentral describes it as "partial 16S ribosomal RNA". It matches the Rfam family "Bacterial small subunit ribosomal RNA", at positions 524 to 776 of the family's 1533-position model. The record is from RNAcentral.